RNAcentral lists this ribosomal RNA (544 nucleotides) under uncultured bacterium. RNAcentral's name for it is "bacterial SSU rRNA". It matches the Rfam family "Bacterial small subunit ribosomal RNA", at positions 777 to 1320 of the family's 1533-position model. The record is from RNAcentral.
AAUAGAUACCCAGGUAGUCCACGCCGUAAACGAUGAGUGCUAAGUGUUAGGGGGUUUCCGCCCCUUAGUGCUGCAGCUAACGCAUUAAGCACUCCGCCUGGGGAGUACGGUCGCAAGACUGAAACUCAAAGGAAUUGACGGGGGCCUGCACAAGCGGUGGAGCAUGUGGUUUAAUUCGAAGCAACGCGAAGAACCUUACCAGGUCUUGACAUCCCAUUGGCCACUAUGGAGACAUAGUUUUCCCUUCGGGGACAACGGUGACAGGUGGUGCAUGGUUGUCGUCAGCUCGUGUCGUGAGAUGUUGGGUUAAGUCCCGCAACGAGCGCAACCCUUGUUCUUAGUUGCCAUCAUUUAGUUGGGUACUCUAAGGAGACUGCCGGUGACAAACCGGAGGAAGGUGGGGAUGACGUCAAAUCAUCAUGCCCCUUAUGACCUGGGCUACACACGUGCUACAAUGGACGGUACAAACGGUUGCCAACCCGCGAGGGGAGCUAAUCCGAUAAAACCGUUCUCAGUUCGGAUUGUAGGCUGCAACUCGCCUACA